This 195-nucleotide ribosomal RNA is filed under the name uncultured bacterium. RNAcentral describes it as "partial 16S ribosomal RNA". It matches the Rfam family "Bacterial small subunit ribosomal RNA", at positions 338 to 525 of the family's 1533-position model. The record is from RNAcentral. RNAcentral also lists the same sequence under 1 other name.
UCUACGGGAGGCAGCAGUAGGGAAUCUUCCGCAAUGGACGAAAGUCUGACGGAGCAACGCCGCGUGAGUGAUGAAGGGUUUCGGCUCGUAAAACUCUGUUAUUAGGGAAGAACAAAUGUGUAAGUAACUGUGCACAUCUUGACGGUACCUAAUCAGAAAGCCACGGCUAACUACGUGCCAGCAGCCGCGGUAAUA